Molecule: long non-coding RNA, 1176 nt
Organism: Cucumis sativus (cucumber)
Lineage: Eukaryota; Viridiplantae; Streptophyta; Magnoliopsida; Cucurbitales; Cucurbitaceae
Exons: 2
Source: RefSeq, a predicted model, not a curated record
UCAUUUCAACUGCUGUGGAAGGCAUUGAUACUUUUUUUAAAUAUAUAUUUUAAAAUUUAUUAAGUGUUGGGUAAUUGGGUUAGGAUUAUCAAUAUUUAUACGAAGUCUUAGGUAUUAUUUCACUUGACCCCACACCCUUUUGAGCCCCAUAAUCUCUCUUUUCAGAGCUUUCACUUGUUUCGAUAUAUUUAGAAAUGGUUCAUCACUUUUCAACUUGUCUAUUUAUUUUAGGGACUUUGCCCCCUGAUAUCUUAAGCAAUGUUCUUGGGCAAUUACUCCCACACCUUUAUACUUUCUCAAUAUCAUUUUGAUCCUUUUAGGAAGUUUUAUAUAUAAUGAGGUAAUGUCGAUUGGAAAAUUAUUUACUGUCUCAUAACCAUAAGGGAGAUAUAAAAAACUUCAAAACAAUAAAUGGGCGUGGUAGAGAAAAAAAAAAUCUUCAGUAGAUUAAGACAAUUAUUGAAUUUGCUCACUUUUUCAAACUUACGUGAGAGCUAUGGUCCCAACGUUUUAUGUGGUUUUUGUCUGGCUUAUAAAUGAUUCAAAAAGACGAAAAAGAGAGUAGAGCUGGCAGAAGAGGAGUAUUUGUCUAUCCAAUCUUGGAUGGUUGUUUGAUUUAACCUAUGCUCAUGACCACUCGAUUCGUAAAGAGAUCACCAGGUCGAUGAUAGAUUCGUCACAUUUUCCUUUCUUUUGAAGGAGAAGAUUGGCAUGGAGGAAUGAGCUGGCUGGUUAGAGAUUUCAGAGGUAGUACAUUGCGAGAGGUUGCAGUUUUAUUUACUACAGAUACCCAGUAAAAGUACCGCUUGAAGCCAAAGUCGUCCUGGAAGGUUCAAGAGAGUUGGAGGCUCUUUUGGAAGGGUAGAAAUCUCCGAUCCUGGUGAUUUUGGUUGGAAUCAUUUACUCUUGAAGUUAAUCUUUUCAACAGUUUAGAUUCGGAACUUUCAAUAGUCUCUUUUUUCGUUGAAGAGUCACACACUCUCUUGCUUACUUGUGAAUUAUAUUAUUAUGGCUUUUGUCAAAAUUUCAAGAGAGGGAAACAAAGGUGUUAAUGAUCACAGCUUUGACUUUUUUUUCUUCAAUUGUUUCUUUGGUGUGGCUUCACUCUUGACUCUCGUUCAAUGAAAGGUCCUUUUAGCUGUCAUAGUUAAUGAGAAAUAAAAUCACUUUAGGUGU